This is a long non-coding RNA of Pygocentrus nattereri (red-bellied piranha), 1526 nucleotides long. NCBI's taxonomy places the organism in Eukaryota, Metazoa, Chordata, Actinopteri, Characiformes, Serrasalmidae. The record is from Ensembl.
AAUUUAGAGGUCAGGUUCUCUGCUGUCUGGUACUGGUGAAUUAGGAAUGGCACUGCCAAGCCUACCAAGGGCAGCCAAUCUGACUGUUAACAAAGAGAACGGAUUUCUGAUUUUUAUGUUAGUUAGCCUUGUUGUUUCAGAAGACUAUAUUGGGAAAGAUUUUAACUGCCCUUGCAAAUCCAACUUCAGAAAAAAGAUUUUCUUUUCCUACUUGCUGGUACCUGCCUUAGUCGUUUUUGCGGUCAUGUAUUGUAUCAUGACUGAGCUGCAGACAUCCAAGAAGGGACCUCAACAGCAGGAAUGUAACGAAGAAACUCAAGGGCUGGAAUCUAAUAGGGGAGCUCAGAUAUCCGGAAGACCAAAUGAAUGUUCAUUUAAAAAGAUCUUGCCUGGAAAAUGGAGACAGCUCAUUUUUACCUUCUGGUGUUUUAUUCCAAGUUUUUUUUGGAUGAUCUUAUUUUUCUGUGAUGGCAGAUAUUGGGCUUGUUAUCUUACUACAUAUGAAGGAGAUGCUGACAGCACUGCGCUCCCUCCAUGGGAAUGGUGUAACAGAAACCGAACCAUGACUGCUGCCCAGAGGAUAGCAGAGAGAGCAUAUAAUGACUCUAAGUUUGGAGGUUUCGUCGCCCUCUUCGUCUCCACACUCGUAAUACUGUUAUUAUAUAUUAUAUAUAAAUACUGUCAAGAACGUGGAGUCUCCAGUGAACAGACAGCAGCAGAGCAGGGCACUACUGGGGCGCAGGAAAGCAGUGGACAGCGGACACCUACACAUACGAGGACACCGCAUGACAACUGUCAAGACACUGCCAGGACGCAGGAAAGGAGUGGACAGCAGACAUCUACAUGUGUAAAUACUGAAGCAGAAGGACUUCUCAUGGCGAAGCUUCCUGCGACGGAGGAAAACUGACAUCUACACGUGUAAAUUCAGACGCUGAGACGUCAGCUCUGCGGAGCUUUUCAGAAGAAAGCUGAGGAGAUCAUGCAAGAAGCAGCAGUUCAUCACAUUUUAUCAGGAUGGAUCCCGAAGGAAACGUAUCAGUCACACAACACAGGACAGUAAUACAACCCCAAUUCUAGUGAAGUCGGGACGUUGUGUAAAACAUAAAUAAAAACAGAAUACAAUGAUCUGCAAAUCCUUUUCAAAUUCUUGAUAUUAGGGACUGUAGAUGAUGAAAUCCCUAAAUUCCUUGCAGUUGCAUGUUGAGAAACGUUGUUCUUAAACUGUUGGACUAUUGGCUCACGCAGUUGUUCACAAAGUGGUGAACCUCACCCGUCCUUGCUUGUGAAUGACUGAGCCUUUCAGAGAUGCUCCCUUUAUACCCAAUCAUGACACUCACCUGUUUCCAAUUGUGGCGAUACUACCCCGAUCUAUAACCAACUACGCCACCCCUUAGUUUAUACCUAGAGUGAAGGGGAACUCUGCACCAAAUAGACACACAGAUUCUUUUAUUAGAGAAAAUAGAUUGCUUUAUUAAACGCUUGGUCACUCAAUGUUCAGCUGACAGUUAUAAAAUAAUAAAAAAAAG